UACGAAGGGGGCUAGCGUUGUUCGGAAUUACUGGGCGUAAAGCGCGCGCAGGCGGUCCUUUAAGUCAGGGGUGAAAGCCCAGAGCUCAACUCUGGAACUGCCUUUGAAACUAGAGGACUUGGGUACGGGAGAGGUGAGUGGAAUUCCGAGUGUAGAGGUGAAAUUCGUAGAUAUUCGGAAGAACACCGGUGGCGAAGGCGGGUCUCUGGGCCGAUACUGACGCUGAGGAGCGAAAGCGUGGGGAGCGAACAGG
RNAcentral lists this ribosomal RNA (253 nucleotides) under uncultured bacterium. RNAcentral describes it as "partial 16S ribosomal RNA". It matches the Rfam family "Bacterial small subunit ribosomal RNA", at positions 524 to 776 of the family's 1533-position model. The record is from RNAcentral.